GGCCAACCUUGGUCAAUAAACACUUUCCACAUUAAACCUAAGCUCUCCCUAUAUUUCAAAUAACCUUUCUCUCUCUAUCUCUCUCUCCCCUCGAUCUCUAUCUCUGAGCUCUUCACCACAUGGCGUCGUCUUCUUUCUCGUCCUCCGCCGCACAAACCCUUCUCCCAGCAAAUCCCUCUCCCUAACCUACCUCAUUGACUCCUGCGGCUUGUUCCCCGAAUCCGUCAUUUCCGCGUCCCAGAAGCUCCGCUUCAAGAGCACCGAGAACCCUAACGUCGUUCUCCGCCUCCUCCGCGACUACGGCUUCGGCACGACCCCUAUCUCCAAGCCUAUCUCCAGGUUCCCGGAAGUAAUUCGUAAGGUCAUCGACGUGCUCCAUCUAGGGCGAGCGAACGUCUCCAAGGCGGAGUUGAAGGAGAAGCUCGCGAAGCUGUACGAAGUGAAGGACCCGAACUCAAUCUUCGUCUUCAAGUUCCGAACUCACUUCAGUGGGGGAAAGUCCAUGGGAUUUGGGCUCAUCUAUGAUUCCGUCGAUAGCGUUAAGAAGUAUGAGCCCAAGUACAGGCUCAUUAGGGUAUGGAUUCAAUAAUUUAC
Molecule: long non-coding RNA, 594 nt
Organism: Ananas comosus (pineapple)
Lineage: Eukaryota; Viridiplantae; Streptophyta; Magnoliopsida; Poales; Bromeliaceae
Exons: 3
Source: RefSeq, a predicted model, not a curated record